GUUCUGAACGGAGGAAGAUGAUCUAGUCUUUGUUCCACGCGCUGAGAAGGGGACUUGGGGAUUCGGUUGAGCCAGGAGAAUGGGAAACUUUCUACGUGGAAUACGUAGAACGCCCUGUUCUUUGGAUGCACACGGGAGGUUGGUUUCAGUUGGGAACAGAGGAUCUUUGAGAGUGAUGCUAGAUUUAGAACUGUGAACGGUUGCGGCUCUAAUCCGGAACAAGGAAA
Molecule: long non-coding RNA, 227 nt
Filed under: Phoenix dactylifera (date palm)
Lineage: Eukaryota; Viridiplantae; Streptophyta; Magnoliopsida; Arecales; Arecaceae
Description: long non-coding RNA (PDAC_LNC010512)
Source: RNAcentral